This 82-nucleotide transfer RNA is filed under the name Serendipita indica DSM 11827. RNAcentral's name for it is "transfer RNA-Trp(CCA)". It matches the Rfam family "tRNA". Rfam says of the family: Transfer RNA (tRNA) molecules are approximately 80 nucleotides in length. Lineage: Eukaryota; Fungi; Basidiomycota; Agaricomycetes; Sebacinales; Serendipitaceae. The record is from RNAcentral.
GAUCCCGUGGCGCAAUGGUAGCGUGUGAGAUUCCAGUACUGGAACUUCCUCAAGGUUAUCCGUUCGAGUCGGGUCGGGGUCA